This is a non-coding RNA of Saimiri boliviensis boliviensis (Bolivian squirrel monkey), 1068 nucleotides long. The record is from RefSeq and is a predicted model, not a curated record. Lineage: Eukaryota; Metazoa; Chordata; Mammalia; Primates; Cebidae.
UGCUUAUAACAAUACUUUUUAAGAAAUGUUCAAUGUUCCACGAGACCAACAUCCACAUGAGAUGAAAAGAAGUCUAAGGUUAGUUCCUGACAGAUUCCUGGAAGCUAAGAAAGUCUCAUUCCAGUAACUGCUUAAUAUCCCAGCUGCCAGUCUUAUUCUUCAAAGACUGAAGCCCAGCCCCAAUGCUUCUUGUCUGGUGCCAGCACAGCUUGCCUGGACUUCUGAAAAUUGCAAGCCCUUGCUCCUUGCUGGUCACCAUGCUCCCCCUUUCUUUGUUGAGACUCCCUCUUGCAUGGUUUACCAGGCGCCCUUAUUGCCCCUCAUGUUUGUGUGCCACUUUGGACUUUGGACUUCAUCUGGCACACUUAGUUCCCUUCAUCCACACCUGAAGCCAGAGGAGCUGAAGUGACUGCAUCACUUUCUCAAUUCUGGCUCCUGCCCACCAGCCUUGCUCUGCUAGGAGGAAUUAGCUCUGCCUGGCCAGAAUCCAAGAAGUGACUAAUCAAACUUGCUCAAUAGGUGGUAAUUAAACUUCUGGCUCUAAAGCCCAGAAUAGGUUGUCAAUAGGAUUGCACAGUGGCUGCCUGACACUAAGCAAGGAUGUAGUUUUACAUCUAGUUUUAAAUCAUAAACUCUAAUAGGAUUCUCAGAGAAGACAGUAAAGAGUAAGGCCAAAAAAAGUUGUUUUAAGAGGAAAAUGGCAGUAAGUACAAAAGAUAAUCUGGGGAAGACCUGGCAUUUCUGAAAUCAAAAUAUCUAUUACUAAGUGGAUCAUGACUGCUUAGUUUCUGGUCUAGAAUCUUUAAGUAAGCCGUUCAGAAGAUGUGAUACUAAAGAAUGAUACCAACUGAAGAAUAGAAAGGAGGAACUGAGGAUGACUUCAGAAAAAGGCUGCAAGCAUGAAAAAUGUUGAUCUCACCCACUGAUCUAUGCUCUAUUUAAGAAUGUACUAAUACAAAUAUGCUUUUUCUCCCUACAUCCAAUCCCUAUUACUACACCAAAUACUUGUUCCUCUAGGAAAUGUGCAGUUGAAACAACUUCCACCAUUAAAUGAGAAUUAUUCAGCUU